AACGAACGCUGGCGGCAUGCCUAACACAUGCAAGUCGAACGAUACCUUCGGGUCUAGUGGCGCACGGGUGCGUAACGCGUGGGAACCUGCCCUUAGGUUCGGAAUAACUCCCCGAAAGGGGUGCUAAUACCGGCUAAUGUCUUCGGACCAAAGAUUUAUCGCCUUUGGAUGGGCCCGCGUUGGAUUAGCUAGUUGGUAGGGUAAAAGCCUACCAAGGCGACGAUCCAUAGCUGGUCUGAGAGGAUGAUCAGCCACACUGGGACUGAGACACGGCCCAGACUCCUACGGGAGGCAGCAGUGGGGAAUAUUGGACAAUGGGCGAAAGCCUGAUCCAGCAAUGCCGCGUGAGUGAUGAAGGCCUUAGGGUUGUAAAGCUCUUUUACCCGGGAUGAUAAUGACAGUACCGGGAGAAUAAGCUCCGGCUAACUCCGUG
This 433-nucleotide ribosomal RNA is filed under the name uncultured bacterium. RNAcentral describes it as "partial 16S ribosomal RNA". It matches the Rfam family "Bacterial small subunit ribosomal RNA", at positions 29 to 507 of the family's 1533-position model. The record is from RNAcentral.